AGAAUCAACGCUGGCGGCGUGCCUAACACAUGCAAGUCGAACGAGAAAGUGGAGCAAUCCAUGAGUAAAGUGGCGACCGGGUGAGUAACACGUGACUAACCUACCCUUGAGUGGGGGAUAACCUAGGGAAACCUGGGCUAAUACUGCAUAACAUCUUUGGAUCGGAAGAACUGGAGAUCAAAGGAGCAAUUCGCUUAAGGAGGGGGUCGCGGCUGAUUAGCUAGUUGGCGGGGUAAUGGCCCACCAAGGCUUUGAUCGGUAGCCGGCCUGAGAGGGCGCACGGCCACACUGGAACUGAAACACGGUCCAGACUCCUACGGGAGGCAGCAGUGGGGAAUCUUGCACAAUGGGGGCAACCCUGAUGCAGCGACGCCGCGUGAGCGAUGAAGCCCUUCGGGGUGUAAAGCUCUUUCGGCAGGGAAGAUAAUGACGGUACCUGCAGAAGCAGCUGCGGCUAACUACGUGCCAGCAGCCGCGGUAAUACGUAGGCAGCGAGCGUUGUUCGGAGUUACUGGGCGUAAAGGGUGCGUAGGCGGUCCCUUAAGUUUGGUGUGAAAUCUCCCGGCUCAACUGGGAGGGUGCGCCGGAAACUGAGGGACUAGAGUGUGGGAGAGGAAAGUGGAAUUCCUGGUGUAGCGGUGAAAUGCGUAGAUAUCAGGAGGAACACCGGCGGUGUAAACGGCUUUCUGGACCAUAACUGACGCUGAGGCACGAAAGCGUGGGGAGCAAACAGGAUUAGAUACCCUGGUAGUCCACGCCGUAAACGUUGGGCACUGGGUGUGGGGCCCUAUCGACGGGUUCCGUGCCGCAGCUAACGCAUUAAGUGCCCCGCCUGGGGAGUACGGCCGCAAGGCUAAA
Molecule: ribosomal RNA, 858 nt
Filed under: uncultured soil bacterium
Lineage: Bacteria
Description: bacterial SSU rRNA
Rfam family: Bacterial small subunit ribosomal RNA
Source: RNAcentral